UAACAGCCACAGUAACAGCAACAAGAAAGAUAAGGACAAUACUAAAAGAGAGGGCAAAGUCUUGGUAUUUGCACACCCAGCUCCAAUUUAAAAAGAAAAAAAAGGUUUAGAAUUAAAAAGAUUCAUUCUGGACUUGGAGGUUGUCUGUUGGUAGAGACUUAAAGCUGGCUGUUGUAAAAGGUGACUAGACGUGGACAAAGGCAGAGCUUGGAGGAAACAUGUGAAGGAUUUGAGCAUCAAGGGGGCAGUGGUUCUGACCAGUUCUGCUGAAGCAUGAGUUAUGCUCUGAUCCUCACCCAGCUCCAAGUCAGCCCCAGAGAAACUGCCAAGGAAGGCAAACCUGAGAGGCAGCAGUAAAUACUCCCCCCGUGAACAUUCCUGCGAGACACAGACUGCUGGGCCAGGGCAAAGGCUGUACCUGUGGCGCUCCCGAUGAUAUCUGGCUGAGGAAGACCUGCCGAGGAACUGAAAAAAUUCGAAAAAUCAUUGACUCAUUUUCAUCUGGAUGCUGAACCGUGGGAUGGCCAGCCUUCAUCUGAGAAAACUGGCUCUCAUAGUACUGGACUUGAGAAA
Non-coding RNA from Odocoileus virginianus texanus, 573 nucleotides. The record is from RefSeq and is a predicted model, not a curated record. NCBI's taxonomy places the organism in Eukaryota, Metazoa, Chordata, Mammalia, Artiodactyla, Cervidae.